CUUGCUCCUGGGUGACGAGCGGCGGACGGGUGAGUAAUGUCUGGGAAACUGCCCGAUGGAGGGGGAUAACUACUGGAAACGGUAGCUAAUACCGCAUAACGUCUUCGGACCAAAGUGGGGGACCUUCGGGCCUCACACCAUCGGAUGUGCCCAGAUGGGAUUAGCUAGUAGGUGAGGUAAUGGCUCACCUAGGCGACGAUCCCUAGCUGGUCUGAGAGGAUGACCAGCCACACUGGAACUGAGACACGGUCCAGACUCCUACGGGAGGCAGCAGUGGGGAAUAUUGCACAAUGGGCGCAAGCCUGAUGCAGCCAUGCCGCGUGUGUGAAGAAGGCCUUCGGGUUGUAAAGCACUUUCAGCGAGGAGGAAGGGUUCGGUGUUAAUAGCACCGUUCAUUGACGUUACUCGCAGAAGAAGCACCGGCUAACUCCGUGCCAGCAGCCGCGGUAAUACGGAGGGUGCAAGCGUUAAUCGGAAUUACUGGGCGUAAAGCGCACGCAGGCGGUUUGUUAAGUCAGAUGUGAAAUCCCCGAGCUUAACUUGGGAACUGCAUUUGAAACUGGC
This 564-nucleotide ribosomal RNA is filed under the name Serratia sp. enrichment culture clone EST612_EN7. RNAcentral describes it as "bacterial SSU rRNA". It matches the Rfam family "Bacterial small subunit ribosomal RNA", at positions 75 to 637 of the family's 1533-position model. The record is from RNAcentral. Lineage: Bacteria; Pseudomonadati; Pseudomonadota; Gammaproteobacteria; Enterobacterales; Yersiniaceae.